CCACAAGUCAGUCAAUGACCCCAAAUGGGCACAGAUGUGAGCGACACAAGUGCAGUGGAGACAGAUGUCACUGUGGGCUGAGGCCUCCCGGAGACGCCCUGCCGUGGGCUCUGAUGGCGGGAAGCAGACAGGACACUCCCAGGGACCCCAGGGAGAACUCAGAUUCCAAGCUGGACAUCGGCUACGACAACUUAGGUGGCUUUCUUUCUCUUCUACCCUUUGUGGACAUGGAGACCUCCCUGCACAUCCCAACAGGAAAAACAAGCCGUGCCUCCCAUCCGUCUGCCAGAGUCAGACCACAAACAAAGGAAAGGAAACCGUCCCCGACGUGAAAACACACAGUCCCGCCCGCCACCGCCACUGGCUGGUCAUUGAUAGUUAGGAGAGACGUGGGCUGUCUUCGGUGGUGGUUUCCUGGGUGUAUACUUAUCCCCAAACUCACCGAAAUUUAUACAUUAAAUAUGCACAGCUUU
Molecule: non-coding RNA, 473 nt
Organism: Microcebus murinus (gray mouse lemur)
Lineage: Eukaryota; Metazoa; Chordata; Mammalia; Primates; Cheirogaleidae
Source: RefSeq, a predicted model, not a curated record